AUUCCGUGAUGCGGACACUUUCUUAUCAAUUCUUUGAAUCUCUCCCACGCCUCAUAUAGAGAUUCAUUAUCCAGUUGGUAGAAGUUGUUGAUCUCCCCCCUUAGCUU
This is a small nucleolar RNA of Humulus lupulus (European hop), 107 nucleotides long. The record is from RefSeq and is a predicted model, not a curated record. NCBI's taxonomy places the organism in Eukaryota, Viridiplantae, Streptophyta, Magnoliopsida, Rosales, Cannabaceae.